Molecule: long non-coding RNA, 3441 nt
Filed under: Malus domestica (apple)
Lineage: Eukaryota; Viridiplantae; Streptophyta; Magnoliopsida; Rosales; Rosaceae
Description: long non-coding RNA (MDOM_LNC012656)
Source: RNAcentral
UAUCAGAAUGUCAACUGCAUAGUUGGGGUUAAGCCACUUAGUCAUGAAGGCAAGUGUAUGCGCAACAAGGAAUCUCUAAUCCUCGAUAAGAGAGGAAGAAUACUCUAAGAUAUGAUUCGGGAAUCUUCGGCCGAAGUAUCGAGCAUAAUAAAGGAAAGCGUUCCUAUACGACUCAAUUGAAUCAUAUAAGAAGGAAUAAUCACAUUAGGGGUUUGACAUAAUAUAUCCAUACCCUAGUAAUGUGAUUGAGAGUAUUGUUUUAGAGAAGGAUCGAAUUACAUUGUAAUUCCAAAUGAAUAGGUUCUCCGAACAACUUCUACAUUAGCUUGGGUAGCUAUGACAUAUGGUUAGAUGUCACUCAUAGCUUGUGAGUUUUUCUAGAUGAUUAAAUGUAGUCAUCAAAGAAGAAAGGUGAAUUAAAAUGAAGUUUUAAUUCACUAAGUGAUUGAAUUAAAUAUAAUCAAUUGGAUUGAUGCCAAUCACCUCACUGCCUUGCUAAUUAGAACCUAAAAUGAUUGUACACCGAUACACUCUUGUAGUGAGUAAUUAAUGGAUGAUGGAAAUAAUUAAUUGGAUUAAUUAAGUGUUGUGAUUAAUUUAGAAAGUCUAAAGAAAUCAUAAAAGCGAUAAAGCAACGUUCGGGUUUAAUUGGGCCCAUUGGGCCUAAACCCAUUGGGCUUUUAUUCAAGCAUUGGAUGACUUGAAAUAAAUGAAAGCCCAAAGCCCAAACAACACAAAGAGGGCCGGCCAUUUUAGGUGAAAGGGAGAGAUAUUUGGUCAAGUGGUUGACUAGGUUUCUUUUGUCUAUAUAAGGAACUUUAUAGCACAAAGUUCAUUAGGGUUUUUGUGUGUUUAAAACAACAAAGAGGCAAAAGAAAUAUCUCUCUAAAACACUACAAAGGCCGGCCACCUUAGGGGUGUUUUUACUAACACAUUUUUCACCCUUUUGGUUAUUCCUCCAUCCAUCUCACUACACUAGUGGGUGUGGAUCUUUAGAGGUUUCUACUUUGGAAACUUGGAGAGAACCUAGGAGCACUCUUACUAACAAAGUGGAGGAGGCAAGGAGGGAGGCUAGGCUCAAGGACUUCAAGGAGCAUAGGGCUUGGAGGUGGUCCAUCCUUGGUCUAAAAUCAAGAUCAAGAGGUUUAGACUAAACCUUCACUUUGUUCUUCUCUAAAAUUGUUUUGAUGCAUUAUAUAUAAACCUAUGAACCUUGAAGGGGAUUUGCAUGACUAUAGCUUUGAUAAUUUGUUAUAAAUGCUUCCGCUGCUUUCGUUUAUUAAAAUUUGAUUUGUAUAUGCAUGAUAGUCAUUUUCGAAAUCCCUUUAUGUGAAAACUCAUAAUUUUCCCUUCAAUCUUUAUAAUCUUAAUGAGAUGCUUUCGGUUGUUUGGGUACAUUUGUUUAUGCUUAUGCUCAAAUUUGUAUAUCAGUGGACCUCUUCUUUUUCUGUUAAGUCACUGUCCCUCGUCAGAAACAUGAAGUCAUGAUUUAGGUUUAUAAGGGAGUGUGUUUUCAUGAAGAGCAUCAAUUAUGGGGGAGUUCAAUUUCAUUGCAUGCAUCAUUUCUAGGAGAGUUGGGUCACUUACCUGCUCUUUCUUGUUGCUUCAAUUUGCUUGGACAUGCUCAUACGAUAUAUUGCUAAUUCCUUAUCCGUUGUGCUUUUGUUGUUCUUGCAUUGUAAUUUGCUCCAAAUUUCAAAUUGCAUAUGAUAUUCGGCCCUGACUUUAUCUUACCAUGACAAAAUGGGGGAGAAACUUUUUAGUUGUGUUUUAUACCUUGAAAGUCAGUCACCCAUAAAAACUUCACUUGUUUUUGUCAAGAUUUGUUGUUUUGCAGGAUCCAUUCCUUCGUUCAUUUAUUGAGGGUGGGUGAGUGAAAUUAGCUGAUUUGGGGUAUUUUGCCAAGGAAAGCCAAAGGGAGAGACUGCGAAUUCUAGACAUUUAGGUUUGGCUUUCAUUGUUAACAUUGUAAAUGUACCACAAGCUCAAUCUAGCUUUAGGAUGUUCUCUGUUUAUGGGUGGUGUCUGCUGUGAAGAAAUGUACAAGGAUGGGACACAUCUCACAGUUGGAAGUAUGCCCACAAAGCCACUCAUUUGAUGUAAAAGCUUUUGGAAUACUUAUUGUAUUAAACUAUUAAAUGUUUAAUGAAGUGCAAAGCUUAUUGUUAAUCACUAUUUAUUGUAUCAUGUGUUGAAGCAAUAAGGGAAUCCAAGGAAAGUAUUUAAUCAUAGAGAGAAGUGAUCUAAGUAAGUUAGAUUAACGAGACCUUUCUCUUAUGUUCAUUCCUAAAACGUUCCUAGCUAUAGGAUUCCCAAUUGGGCAUUGACAAUCCGCUAAGGUUUGUAUGUGUUAUGUCAACUCAAGCGUGAGUAUGACUAGUCUCAAGUCAUUUAGUAUUGGACACUAAGACAAACACGUAGGUGCUCGAAAGGGUAAUCGAGUACACUGAACAACGAUCAAAAGAGAAUUCGAACAUACAUGUCAUGUAAGAACUCAUUAGUUGAAAUAUGCAAAGUAGUCCUUUGACCUGAGGCAUCAUAGAUGUCUAAUGGUUUGGUCCUUGAUCUUUGAUCAUGUCAAAGGCAUUCCAUCGAAAGUGUCCACGACAUUGUUGGGGUCAAGAUAUCUAGUCAUGUAGGCAUAUGAUGAAGGAUGAUUUUGUGAAAACAUGUUCAUUUGAAUAACAUCUAUAGCAUGCAUUUAACAAUUAAAAGGCAGAAUCAUGCUUGCAUGCAUUCAAAAACAAAACAUUACCCAUGAAAUUCAAAGCCUAGUAGAUUGGUGAACCAAGACUCAACUCAAAUCAAAGUGAGUUGAGAAAUUUAUACCUUUGUAGAUUCCUCUUUGCAUAAGCAAAGGCUAAUCACCCAAAGAGAGGGCCUUCAUUCCUUGCUUCUUAGAUCCAUGGUUUUGGAUGCAAGAAUAUGGUUCUCCAAGUUCCCAAAAUUGAGAACCUCUAAGUGUCUACACCAAGGUUAGAUUGGAGAAGACAUGAGUGACAUUGGAGGAGUGGGAUUGCUAGCUAAUCCCUCUAAGGGGGCCGGCCUCUUUAGAGAGAAAGGAGAGCUUUGUGUUCUCUCCAAUUUCCUAAAACAAACCCUUAAUGAAUUUUAGGCCAUAAAGUUCUUUAUAUAGUCACUUCUUUAAAUGACCUAAAGAACCAAAAACCCUAAUUCAACACACAUGGCCGGCCACAUAAGGGAUUUGGGCUUUUGGGCCUUUGUGAAUCUUUAUUCAUUAAAUUGUCAUACAAUUUAAGUCAAUGGGCUUGACGUUCGAAGCCCAUUGGGCCUUAAGGUCCAAAACUAUCCCGAGGUCUUUAACGAACUUAUUCGUUUGAUUAAUUAACAUAUUAAUUAAUCCUUGCCAUAAAUAAUUAAACCAUUUAAUUAUUCCUACUCAUCUCCAUUGUUUCUUCAAUCUCCACCUUACACGGUGUA